UACAUAGGGUGCGAGCGUUAUUCGGAAUCACUGGGCGUAAAGCGCGCGUAGGCGGGUUGACAAGUCAGGUGUGAAAUCCCACGGCUCAACCGUGGAAUUGCGCUUGUGACUGGCGGGCUCGAGUACGGUAGAGGGGGGUGGAAUUCCUGGUGUAGCAGUGAAAUGCGUAGAGAUCAGGAGGAACACCGAUGGCGAAGGCAGCCCCCUGGGCCUGUACUGACGCUCAUGCACGAAAGCGUGGGGAGCAAACAGG
This 253-nucleotide ribosomal RNA is filed under the name uncultured microorganism. Its description in RNAcentral is "partial 16S ribosomal RNA". It matches the Rfam family "Bacterial small subunit ribosomal RNA", at positions 524 to 776 of the family's 1533-position model. The record is from RNAcentral.